This 460-nucleotide ribosomal RNA is filed under the name uncultured marine microorganism. RNAcentral's name for it is "bacterial SSU rRNA". It matches the Rfam family "Bacterial small subunit ribosomal RNA", at positions 355 to 830 of the family's 1533-position model. The record is from RNAcentral.
UGGGGAAUCUUCCGCAAUGGGCGAAAGCCUGACGGAGCAAUACCGCGUGAGGGAGGAAUGCCUUUGGGUUGUAAACCUCUUUCCUCAGGGAAGAAGAUCUGACGGUACCUGAGGAAUAAGUAUCGGCUAACUCCGUGCCAGCAGCCGCGGUAAUACGGAGGAUGCAAGCGUUAUCCGGUAUCAUUGGGCGUAAAGCGUCCGCAGGUGGUUUCCAAAGUCUGCUGUUAAAGACUGGAGCUCAACUCCGGAACGGCGGUGGAAACUUGGAAACUAGAGUUCGGUAGGGGUAGCAGGAAUUCCCAGUGUAGCGGUGAAAUGCGUAGAUAUUGGGAAGAACAUCGGUGGCGAAGGCGUGCUACUGGACCGUAACUGACACUCAGGGACGAAAGCUAGGGGAGCGAAAGGGAUUAGAUACCCCUGUAGUCCUAGCUGUAAACGAUGGAAACUAGGUGUGGCUUGA